UACGUAGGUGGCGAGCGUUGUCCGGAUUUACUGGGCGUAAAGAGCGCGCAGGCGGUCGUUCAAGUCGAGUGUGAAAGCCCCCGGCUCAACUGGGGAGGGUCACGCGAUACUGAUCGACUCGAAGGCAGGAGAGGGUAGUGGAAUUCCCGGUGUAGUGGUGAAAUGCGUAGAUAUCGGGAGGAACACCGGUGGCGAAGGCGGUUCUCUGGGCCUUACCUGACGCUGAGGAGCGAAAGCGUGGGGAGCAAACAGG
RNAcentral lists this ribosomal RNA (253 nucleotides) under uncultured bacterium. RNAcentral's name for it is "partial 16S ribosomal RNA". It matches the Rfam family "Bacterial small subunit ribosomal RNA", at positions 524 to 776 of the family's 1533-position model. The record is from RNAcentral.